Molecule: ribosomal RNA, 253 nt
Filed under: uncultured bacterium
Lineage: Bacteria
Description: partial 16S ribosomal RNA
Rfam family: Bacterial small subunit ribosomal RNA
Source: RNAcentral
UACAGAGGGUGCGAGCGUUGUCCGGAAUUACUGGGCGUAAAGCGCACGUAGGUGGCGACGUAAGUCGGGUGUGAAAGCCCCGGGCUCAACCUGGGAAUUGCAUUCGAGACUGCAUUGCUGGAGUACGGAAGAGGAAGGCGGAAUUCCCGGUGUAGCGGUGAAAUGCGUAGAUAUCGGGAGGAACAUCAGUGGCGAAGGCGGCCUUCUGGUCCAGUACUGACACUCAAGUGCGAAAGCGUGGGGAGCAAACAGG